AUGGAUGCCGUCGACUCCGUGGUGGACCCCCUCCGCGAGUUCGCCAAGGACAGCGUCCGCCUCGUCAAGCGCUGCCACAAGCCCGACCGCAAGGAUAAGGACCAAAGACUCGCGCCUGCUCGUCCGGAUCCGGUUCGUUUUCCUCUUUCACCAGAUCUGACGCUGAUUCGGCGCGCAGAGUUCACCAAGGUGGCGGCGCGGACAGCGAUCGGGUUCGUCGUCAUGGGGUUCGUCGGCUUCUUCGUCAAGCUCAUCUUCAUCCCCAUCAACAACAUCAUCGUCAGCUCCGGCUAG
This 294-nucleotide ribosomal RNA is filed under the name Triticum aestivum (bread wheat). RNAcentral's name for it is "partial small subunit ribosomal RNA". The record is from RNAcentral. Lineage: Eukaryota; Viridiplantae; Streptophyta; Magnoliopsida; Poales; Poaceae.